CAGUAGCCGCGGUAAUACGAACCGUGCGAACGUUAUUCGGAAUCACUGGGCUUAAAGCGCGUGUAGGCGGGCCGCCACGUCGGCUGCUGAAAUCCCCCGGCUCAACCGGGGAACGGGCACCGAUACGAGCGGCCUGGAGGGGGGUAGGGGGGACUGGAACUUCCGGUGGAGCGGUGAAAUGCGUUGAGAUCGGAAGGAACGCCCGUGACGAAAGCGAGUCCCUGGACCCUUUCUGACGCUGAGACGCGAAAGCCAGGGGAGCGAACGGGAUUAGAUACCCCGGUAGUCCCUGUCUCUUAUA
Molecule: ribosomal RNA, 301 nt
Filed under: uncultured bacterium
Lineage: Bacteria
Description: partial 16S ribosomal RNA
Rfam family: Bacterial small subunit ribosomal RNA
Source: RNAcentral